RNAcentral lists this ribosomal RNA (492 nucleotides) under Triticum aestivum (bread wheat). RNAcentral describes it as "partial small subunit ribosomal RNA". The record is from RNAcentral. Lineage: Eukaryota; Viridiplantae; Streptophyta; Magnoliopsida; Poales; Poaceae.
AUGAAGGAGGUGGGUCAGAAGAAGAACAUCCUGGCCAAGACGCUCCAGAAGUGCCGGUCGUUGGGCCACCGGAGGCAGCCGGCAGCCUACGGCGGUGGCGGCAGCGCCAGUGCCCCGGCGUCGCCACGCGCGGCCGAUGGCAGGGCGGCGGCGUGGGCCGUGCCGGCGGGGUACUUCGCCGUGCUCGUGGGGCCGGAGAAGGAGCGGUUCGCGGUGCGCGCCAGGUGCGCGAACCACCCCCUGUUCCGGGCGCUGCUGGACGAGGCCGAGACGGAGUACGGCUUCGCCGGCUGCGCCGGCCCGCUCGAGCUGCCCUGCGCCGUCGAUGAUUUCAUGGAGGUGAUGUGGGAGAUGGAGCAGGGGGGCGGCGUCGCGUCGUCGCCCAGCUGCGCUCGCUUCGCCGGCAGGGGCCACCACCAACAACAACAGCGCCACGGGUACCACAUGUUGAGUCCGGGCACGUUCCGGUUCCUCGUCGCCGGCCGAUCGUGA